UUUACCCGCUGAACUUAAGCAUAUCAAUAAGCGGAGGAAAAGAAACUAACAAGGAUUCCCCUAGUAACUGCGAGUGAAGCGGGAAAAGCUCAAAUUUAAAAUCUAACAGUUUCACUGUUCGAGUUGUAAUCUGGAGAAGCAUUUUCCGUGUUGGACCGUGUACAAGUCUCUUGGAAUAGAGCGUCAUAGAGGGUGAAAAUCCCGUCCAUGACACGGACUACCGAUACUUUGUGAUAUGCUCUCGAAGAGUCGAGUUGUUUGGGAAUGCAGCUCAAAAUGGGUGGUAAAUUCCAUCUAAAGCUAAAUAUUGGCGAGAGACCGAUAGCGAACAAGUACCGUGAGGGAAAGAUGAAAAGUACUUUGGAAAGAGAGUUAAACAGUAUGUGAAAUUGUUGAAAGGGAAACGCUUGAAGUCAGUCGCGUUGUUUGAGACUCAGCCUUGCUCUUUUGCCUGGUGUAUUUCUUAGUUAACGGGUCAACAUCAAUUUUGGUUGGUGGAUAAAGGUAGAGGGAAUGUGGCAUUCUUCGGGAUGUGUUAUAGCCCUUUAUUGCAUACACUGACUGGGAUUGAGGAACGCAGCAUGCCUUUUUGGCCGGGGGUUCACCUCACGUAACGUGC
RNAcentral lists this ribosomal RNA (619 nucleotides) under Xylodon serpentiformis. RNAcentral's name for it is "partial large subunit ribosomal RNA". It matches the Rfam family "Eukaryotic large subunit ribosomal RNA", at positions 21 to 612 of the family's 3401-position model. Lineage: Eukaryota; Fungi; Basidiomycota; Agaricomycetes; Hymenochaetales; Schizoporaceae. The record is from RNAcentral.